RNAcentral lists this ribosomal RNA (244 nucleotides) under uncultured bacterium. RNAcentral describes it as "partial 16S ribosomal RNA". It matches the Rfam family "Bacterial small subunit ribosomal RNA", at positions 113 to 353 of the family's 1533-position model. The record is from RNAcentral.
ACACGUGGGCAACCUGCCUCAUAGAGGGGAAUAGCCUUUCGAAAGGAAGAUUAAUACCGCAUAAGACUGUAGCUUCGCAUGAAGUAGCAAUUAAAGGAGCAAUCCGCUAUGAGAUGGGCCCGCGGCGCAUUAGCUAGUUGGUGAGGUAACGGCUCACCAAGGCGACGAUGCGUAGCCGACCUGAGAGGGUGAUCGGCCACAUUGGGACUGAGACACGGCCCAGACUCCUACGGGAGGCAGCAUG